This is a long non-coding RNA of Mytilus californianus (California mussel), 129 nucleotides long. RefSeq lists it as uncharacterized. The record is from RefSeq and is a predicted model, not a curated record. The transcript is spliced from 2 exons. NCBI's taxonomy places the organism in Eukaryota, Metazoa, Mollusca, Bivalvia, Mytilida, Mytilidae.
UGUGACAUGGACACUGAUGGUGGAGGGUGGACGACAAUUCAAAGACGAUUUGAUGGAAGUAUUGAUUUCUAUAGAGAUUGGGAGGAUUACAAACUUGGAUUUGGGGAUAUAGCGGGAGAACAUUGGCUA